This 571-nucleotide ribosomal RNA is filed under the name Trichormus fertilissimus LCRSM-NDa. RNAcentral's name for it is "bacterial SSU rRNA". It matches the Rfam family "Bacterial small subunit ribosomal RNA", at positions 114 to 719 of the family's 1533-position model. Lineage: Bacteria; Bacillati; Cyanobacteriota; Cyanophyceae; Nostocales; Nostocaceae. The record is from RNAcentral.
CGCGUGAGAAUCUAGCUUCAGGUCGGGGACAACCACUGGAAACGGUGGCUAAUACCGGAUGUGCCGAAAGGUGAAAGAUUUAUUGCCUGAAGAUGAGCUCGCGUCUGAUUAGCUAGUUGGUGUGGUAAGAGCGCACCAAGGCGACGAUCAGUAGCUGGUCUGAGAGGAUGAUCAGCCACACUGGGACUGAGACACGGCCCAGACUCCUACGGGAGGCAGCAGUGGGGAAUUUUCCGCAAUGGGCGAAAGCCUGACGGAGCAAUACCGCGUGAGGGAGGAAGGCUCUUGGGUUGUAAACCUCUUUUCUCAGGGAAUAAAAAAAUGAAGGUACCUGAGGAAUAAGCAUCGGCUAACUCCGUGCCAGCAGCCGCGGUAAUACGGAGGAUGCAAGCGUUAUCCGGAAUGAUUGGGCGUAAAGCGUCCGCAGGUGGCACUGUAAGUCUGCUGUUAAAGACAAGGCUCAACCUUGUAAAGGCAGUGGAAACUACAGAGCUAGAGUACGUUCGGGGCAGAGGGAAUUCCUGGUGUAGCGGUGAAAUGCGUAGAGAUCAGGAAGAACACCGGUGGCGAA